UUCCAAUGUCCUCCUCAGUCAGGAGAUCCC
Molecule: non-coding RNA, 30 nt
Filed under: Rattus norvegicus (Norway rat)
Lineage: Eukaryota; Metazoa; Chordata; Mammalia; Rodentia; Muridae
Source: RNAcentral